GCCGGGCCGGGGAUCCAGGAGGUGGCUCGCGGAGGCGCUUCCCGACAGUGACGCGCAGACUCAGCUCCCCCGCGGCCCGCCCUCCCGCCGGCCUCGCCGCGGUCUCCCUAGCUCCCUGAGAUCGCUGAGCUCUGAACAGCGGCCCAGGGAGGAGGCCUUGGGCGACGCGGCGCGGAGAGGGAGGGCGGGCGGGCAGUGGGAGCGCCGCGGGUCUCUAUAUGGCGACGGCUCUGUCGGGUCUGGCUGUCCGGCUGUCGCGCUCGGCCGCCGCCCGCUCCUAUGGGGUCUUCUGCAAGGGGUUGACCCGCACGUUGCUCAUCUUCUUUGACUUGGCUUGGCGGCUGCGCAUCAACUUUCCCUACCUCUACAUCGUGGCUUCCAUGAUGCUCAACGUGCGUCUGCAGUGCCUGAAGACCUGUCAUUAGAAGAGCGAGAAGAGCUUUUGGACAUUCGUAGAAGGAAAAAGGAGCUUAUUGAUGACAUUGAGAGGCUGAAAUAUGAAAUUGCAGAAGUGAUG
RNA transcript from Peromyscus californicus insignis, 517 nucleotides. It is a transcript of the gene named small integral membrane protein 10-like protein 2A, with no coding region annotated. The transcript is spliced from 3 exons. Lineage: Eukaryota; Metazoa; Chordata; Mammalia; Rodentia; Cricetidae. The record is from RefSeq and is a predicted model, not a curated record.